GACGAACGCUGGCGGCGUGCUUAACACAUGCAAGUCGAACGAUGAACCCGGAGCUUGCUCUGGGGGAUUAGUGGCGAACGGGUGAGUAACACGUGAGUAACCUGCCCUGGACUCUGGGAUAAGCGUUGGAAACGACGUCUAAUACCGGAUAGGACCUUGGAUCGCAUGAUCUGGGGUGGAAAGUUUUUUCGGUCUGGGAUGGACUCGCGGCCUAUCAGCUUGUUGGUGAGGUAAUGGCUCACCAAGGCGUCGACGGGUAGCCGGCCUGAGAGGGUGACCGGACACACUGAGGCUGAGACACGGCCGAGACUCCUUCGGGAGGCAGCAAAGGGGAAUAUUGCACAAUGGGCAACAGCCCGAUGGAACAACGCCGCGUGCGGGAUGACAGCCUUCGGGUUGGAAAGCGCUUUUAGUAGGGAAGAAAGGCUGCGACUUGACGGUACCUGCAGAAAAAGGACCGGCUAACUACGUG
This 472-nucleotide ribosomal RNA is filed under the name uncultured bacterium. RNAcentral's name for it is "partial 16S ribosomal RNA". It matches the Rfam family "Bacterial small subunit ribosomal RNA", at positions 28 to 507 of the family's 1533-position model. The record is from RNAcentral.